Molecule: transfer RNA, 65 nt
Filed under: Dipodomys ordii (Ord's kangaroo rat)
Lineage: Eukaryota; Metazoa; Chordata; Mammalia; Rodentia; Heteromyidae
Rfam family: tRNA
About the family: Transfer RNA (tRNA) molecules are approximately 80 nucleotides in length. Their secondary structure includes four short double-helical elements and three loops (D, anti-codon, and T loops). Further hydrogen bonds mediate the characteristic L-shaped molecular structure. tRNAs have two regions of fundamental functional importance: the anti-codon, which is responsible for specific mRNA codon recognition, and the 3' end, to which the tRNAs corresponding amino acid is attached (by aminoacyl-tRNA synthetases). tRNAs cope with the degeneracy of the genetic code in two manners: having more than one tRNA (with a specific anti-codon) for a particular amino acid; and 'wobble' base-pairing, i.e. permitting non-standard base-pairing at the 3rd anti-codon position.
Source: Rfam by way of RNAcentral
GGUGGCUCAGUGGCAGAGCGCUUGCCUUGUAUGCCUGAGGCCCUGGGUUCGAUUCCUCAGCACCA